RNAcentral lists this long non-coding RNA (833 nucleotides) under Carica papaya (papaya). Its description in RNAcentral is "long non-coding RNA (CPAP_LNC010543)". The record is from RNAcentral. Lineage: Eukaryota; Viridiplantae; Streptophyta; Magnoliopsida; Brassicales; Caricaceae.
GCAAUUCUUUCGGUUCAGCAAGACCUGAGCAAAUGGAUCAAGAACCAAGAGAUAGUGGUAGCAGUAGUUCUCUUCCUCAUUUUAUGCAAGCAACAGAAUCUGCAAGAGCCAAGGUCAAUGCAAAUAAUUCACCUAGAUCAAGUCCAGAUGUGCAAGAGAGAGACAUUCACAUCAAGAAGAGACAUUCCUUACCUGGUGCAAAUGGAAGGCAGGGUUCACCGAGGAUUCAGCGAGCAACAUCUCAGGCACAGCAGGGUACGAAGGGAAAUGGUAGCAAUCCUAUUCAUGGUAUUUCCUCGACUGAUUUCUGUUUUCUACUAUUGUUACUUUUUCUUUACAUGCUCAUCUUAAAUUUUCUUCCAUUAAAAAAUCUUUUGUUUAGAAAGCUUGUAAUGAAAUUUGGAAGCAUACCUCAUAAUGCUCAGGGCGGUCCACCUUUCAAUUCAUAACAGUGAUUUAUCGGACUUUUGGAGUAUCUGGAGAUAAAUCCCUCUACCCUCUUCCUCCUACUGGAUGCUGUCCUUUUACGACCACGACCAUUAUUCCUAGUCAUCGAAUAAUCCUUCCUAUUAUUUGUUAAAAAAGCAUGUUUAUGUCUUGGUAUCCAGUUCAUAGUCUUGAAUUCAUCUUAUGAGAAUUGAAGCACUCCCUAGAAAAGUUUUCCCAUGUACAUGGCCUACUAAAACGGGUAGAAUCGGUUGAGCGCCGAGACAUUUUCUUUCACUACCUGGCUAAAAGCAUCUUUGAGCUGCGUCUGGACUCUAGAAUCCAAUUUUGGAACUCUCACAUUCCAAAAUGCUGCUAUUUUUAAUAUCUUGGGCCAUGACUGUUUU